AAGAGAAAACAGAGAUGUUAAAGAAGUUGCCAAGAUCACACAGCUCCUAAAUGGUGGAGCCACGAUUCAAAUUCAAGUCUGUAGGAUUUCAAAGCCUUUAUUCCUAAAGGAUCUCAUCAACCUCAACUAGCUGUCAUAACAGAGCCAAAAAGCACUACCUGAAGCUCAGCAUCUCAGAGACCAAAAUGUAUCAGGAUUCAAUGCUUCUCACUUUACAGAGGAGGAAAAUGAUGCUCCCUGACUUCCCCAAGGCCACACCACCAGUGAAUGACAAACAGAGGAUGGCACAGAGUAACUGCCCCUCAUUUUCCAACGGAGCCAUGGGAGAAAAGGAGGGACCUCGAAGUGAUGGAGAGAUGACGCAGGCACUCCAUAAGCAACGGGGUAUUUCCCGAGCCCAGCUGUUUGCCCUUGAAAACUGAACAAGAGAACGAACCGCAGAACUGUAGUUACCACAUUGAGAAGUAGGUUUGACUCUGGAAGGAACUUCUAGAGUUUAAGACAACAUCCCCGUGUACUUGUACAACACUUUCUGAUUCACA
RNAcentral lists this long non-coding RNA (542 nucleotides) under Equus caballus (horse). Its description in RNAcentral is "lncRNA (ENSECAG00000053555.1)". The record is from RNAcentral. Lineage: Eukaryota; Metazoa; Chordata; Mammalia; Perissodactyla; Equidae.